RNAcentral lists this long non-coding RNA (562 nucleotides) under Phasianus colchicus (ring-necked pheasant). Its description in RNAcentral is "lncRNA (ENSPCLG00000010654.1)". The record is from RNAcentral. Lineage: Eukaryota; Metazoa; Chordata; Aves; Galliformes; Phasianidae.
AGCUCCAACUGGGUACUGGGCAGGAAAACCACAUUCCUGGGGUGCUUCCAGGGACCAAUCCAGCAAGGAUUUGGUUCAAAGGACCAGAAGAAGUGCAAAGAGAAAAGCAAAGAUGAUCCAAAACUGCAGAAGACACUGACAAAUACAGAAGCAACCCUUACUGUACAACUCAGAAGCAUUUAUUGGUGCAACAGAAAACUUUAUUUUCUGAGCAAAGAGAAGAGGAGGCACAGGCUGGCAGCAAUUUAGCCAGCAAGAAAGCAGAUAAGUCAGGAAUGUUUAGCUGUAUAUUUGGUACAUUACUGUGACAUCUGUGCCUUCUGUUAUAGGCAGCAUUGCAGAUCGUGCAAGUACCACAGUAAAAGCAGGUUCACAUUCUCAGAUGCAGAUAAAGCAACACCAAUAGCUGGAGGAAGUCAUAUGCCUAGAGUUGAUCAAUACUGUUUGGGAUCUAACCCCAGCAAAAUAUUCAUCUUCACUAAUGAAACCCAUCACGUUUCCCACUGGAAGGAAAGCCAGCAGCAACACAAAUGAAACCUUUUUUCCAGACUACUAAUGCCAC